Molecule: ribosomal RNA, 393 nt
Filed under: uncultured bacterium
Lineage: Bacteria
Description: bacterial SSU rRNA
Rfam family: Bacterial small subunit ribosomal RNA
Source: RNAcentral
GUGCCAGCAGCCGCGGUAAUACGUAGGCAGCAAACGUUGUUCGGAGUUACUGGGCGUAAAGAGUACGUAGGCGGUUUGCCAAGUUUGGUGUGAAAUCUCCUGGCUUAACUGGGAGGGUGCGCCGAAUACUGGCGAGCUUGAGUAUUGGAGAGGAAAGCGGAAUUCCUGGUGUAGCGGUGAAAUGCGUAGAUAUCAGGAGGAACACCGGUGGUGUAGACGGCUUUCUGGACAAUCACUGACGCUGAGGUACGAAAGCGUGGGUAGCAAACAGGAUUAGAUACCCUGGUAGUCCACGCCCUAAACGAUGCAAACUUGGUGUAGGCAGUUCAGUCUGUCUGUGCCGGAGCUAACGCGUUAAGUUUGCCGCCUGGGGAGUACGGUCGCAAGGCUGAA